Molecule: ribosomal RNA, 991 nt
Filed under: uncultured delta proteobacterium
Lineage: Bacteria; Deltaproteobacteria
Description: bacterial SSU rRNA
Rfam family: Bacterial small subunit ribosomal RNA
Source: RNAcentral
AUCUAGAUUAGAGUUUGAUCCUGGCUCAGAACGAACGCUGGCGGCGUGCCUAAGACAUGCAAGUCGUGCGAGAAAGGGACUUCGGUCCUGAGUACAGCGGCGCACGGGUGAGUAACGCGUGGGUAACCUACCUCGAAGUUGGGAAUAACCCGGGGAAACCUGGGCUAAUGCCGGAUGAGCCUACGAGAUCUUCGGAUCAUGUGGGAAAAGAUGGCCUCUGCUUGCAAGCUAUCGCUUCGAGAUGGGCCCGCGUCCCAUUAGCUAGUUGGUGAGGUAACGGCUCACCAAGGCUCCGAUGGGCAGCUGGUCUGAGAGGACGAUCAGCCACACUGGAACUGAGACACGGUCCAGACUCCUACGGGAGGCAGCAGUCGGGAAUCUUGGGCAAUGGGCGCAAGCCUGACCCAGCGACGCCGCGUGAGGGAUGAAGGCCUUUGGGUCGUAAACCUCUGUCGGGAGGGAAGAACGUCGGCAGGGUGAACAAUCCUGUCGGUUGACGGUACCUCCAAAGGAAGCGCCGGCUAACUCCGUGCCAGCAGCCGCGGUAAUACGGAGGGCGCAAGCGUUGUUCGGAAUCACUGGGCGUAAAGCGCGUGUAGGCGGCCGGGCAAGUCGGAUGUGAAAUCCCGAGGCUCAACCUCGGAACUGCAUUCGAAACUGCUCGGCUCGAGUCCCGGAGAGGAUGGCGGAAUUCCCGGUGUAGGGGUGAAAUCCGUAGAUAUCGGGAGGAACACCAGUGGCGAAGGCGGCCAUCUGGACGGUGACUGACGCUGAAACGCGAAAGCGUGGGGAGCAAACAGGAUUAGAUACCCUGGUAGUCCACGCCGUAAACGGUGAGUGCUAGACGUCGCGGGUAUCGACCCCCGCGGUGUCGCAGCUAACGCAUUAAGCAUCCCGCCUGGGGAGUACGGUCGCAAGAUUAAAACUCAAAGGAAUUGACGGGGGCCCGCACAAGCGUGGAGCAUGUGGUUCAAUUCGAAGCAACGCGCAG